Molecule: long non-coding RNA, 1023 nt
Organism: Engraulis encrasicolus (European anchovy)
Lineage: Eukaryota; Metazoa; Chordata; Actinopteri; Clupeiformes; Engraulidae
Exons: 3
Source: RefSeq, a predicted model, not a curated record
GAACAUGUUCUACUGAGGACUCGCAGGCUGCUCUCAGCCUUUGAGAUAAAAGAAAAGAAAAAUAAGCGUUGCCGAAUAGGCUAAAUGUUAAAAUGAUUGUGCUGAGUACUCCACACUGGCGCAGAUUUAAUAAUGUACAAAACCUUAUUGCAUUCUGCGCCACUAGAUGGCAUAUUUGGGGCAUACAGAUCCUGGGAGGAGGAGAAGAAGAAAGUGUAUGUUGUUGCUGCUAGCCACGUACUCACUCUGCCUGCGGUGGAUUGUUUUAUUCCGUGUCAAUUUAAAACUACUUCAGUAAAUGUAUUAACUUUACACCGAGCCUCUUCAUUGCCUACUACAAAGCAACUUUAUGCACCAGUUCGUCACUGAUGGCUCAUCAACGCGGCGGCAUCCUCGUCAUGGGACAGGUUCAUCAGAGUCAGGUGGUCAGCACCCAAACUAAAACCAUGGGUCAUGGUGAAGAAGUAUGAGAGACUGUUCUAUGUGCCCAGGAUUCGUCAGGAUGGUGUCCAAGAAUUACAUCCUAGCAGCACAGAACAGGACGCCAUCAUGAAGAAGUUGCCUGUGGGGCUUCACUUGGGCUUUGCCAGCGCCUCACUAUCAGUGAUGCUGGUCUCCUUAUCCACCGUGCCUACCCCCACGUUCCUCCCUUGAUGCAUUCAUCUCCUGACCUGUACCUGUUGUGGUAGUAGUCAGUGAUGACACACAGUAGUUGUGAUAAUAACAUACAUGUAUAUGAAAUAACUGAAAUGAUGUCCGUCCAGGCAUUUCCUUUGGUAUUUUAUUAUCCAGUAUAUGUAUGUAUCCAGUUACAUGGGUAUUUUGGUGCCUGGAUUAUACUGCAUGUAAGUAAUAAUAUGAACUCAGGUCAGGAUACCACAGUAGUUCAGAGAACCAUUCAUUAAUAUAAAAUGCACAUGUGUUAUAUGUCCAUCCCAGGAUAGACGUCCCCUCGUAUCACCUUCGUAACCCUAAAAUGCAUGUGUACUUUGUGUCUAAAAAUAAAGUCUAUGAACAACUGAA